Brienomyrus brachyistius is the source of this 1257-nucleotide long non-coding RNA. RefSeq lists it as uncharacterized. NCBI's taxonomy places the organism in Eukaryota, Metazoa, Chordata, Actinopteri, Osteoglossiformes, Mormyridae. The record is from RefSeq and is a predicted model, not a curated record. The transcript has 5 exons.
UGGUUUUUAUGAUUUAUCAGGACUUUUCACCUGAUUACGUGCCGACAUUAUCGGGACAUUUGGGAUUAUGAGGACAGGGACGGUGUCCUCAUAAUUCCUGUAAUACAGAUGCAUUUAUCUAAGUUAGAAAACCCCCCCUGCAAACUUUGGGGCCAAGUCCUCUUACACCACAAAACCACGAAAACCAGUUCACACAGUGUAAACUCUGCAUUCAGCAUCGCGCCCUCUGUAGGCUGGAGCCGGAGAAACACCAGAAUAACACUUGCGUUAAGAUUUACGGCUGCUGAUUGGCUAGUUCUGGACUAGCCAUCUAAGGUUGUGAUUGGCUGAGAGGUAUGUCAUUCACUGCGAAUCCUCGUUUCUAUCGGUGGACUUCAGCAGGAGACUAAGAGGACACUACAAUAUCCUGUAAUAUCCAAGUCGUGGAACAGACUGUAAUCAGGAGGAGAUGGCUUCUUCGAAGUUGAGAAGUAGAAAACUUUCUCCAAAACAAGAGGCUGCAUAUUUUAUAUCUGCAUGUAAAGACAAAGAUGGACUUUAUGUGAAAUAUAUAAAUUCAUAUAAAGGCCGUGGGGUAUACAGCAGAUUCCAUUUUGAGAGGGGAGAUUUUCUUCUGGAAUACAGAGGGCAACUCAUCAGCAGGCAUGAAUGUGAAAGUAGACAGAAAAUAUAUCAUGAUGCCCUCAAAGUGUUCAUGUUUGAAUUUUAUUUCAAUGGAAAAUUGUUUUGCAUUGAUGCUGCCCGAGACGAUGGCUCCCUUGGGAGACUGGUGAAUGAUGACCAUGUUAGCCCAAACAGCAAAAUGAAAAAAAUCACCAUAUCAGGAAAGCCCCAUCUAUGUUUAUUCGCAACCAGAAGCAUUAGUCCUGGAGAAGAAAUUACAUAUAACUACGGUGACUCUGACUGGCCAUGGAGAUGCAAGGUGGCUACUGAAAAAGACCAACUGCACCCAAAAGAGCAGAGCACAUCAAGUGAGGUAGGGAGGACAGGGAAAGUAAUUCAGUUAAACUCUUGUAUGUGUGAUUAUUAGGUUUAAGUAGUUGGAGAUAUAGAUGUGUGUUGAAUGAGGAUAUGCAGAGAGAAUGCUGGUAAUUCUCUGUCCCUGCAAAAGGGAGAUCAGCGUGUGAAAGUGUGCUUGACAAAAGCAUUGUCUGUGAGGAUAUGGUGUUGAUGAGAACUGCAGAGAUUACUGGGAUUUUGUGUUUGAACAUUGUGUGAAACAAUGCUUAGAUAUUAGAAAUGCAGUUCUGUCAAUGA